RNAcentral lists this ribosomal RNA (450 nucleotides) under uncultured bacterium. RNAcentral's name for it is "partial 16S ribosomal RNA". It matches the Rfam family "Bacterial small subunit ribosomal RNA", at positions 354 to 796 of the family's 1533-position model. The record is from RNAcentral.
GUGGGGAAUAUUGGACAAUGGGCGAAAGCCUGAUCCAGCCAUGCCGCGUGUGUGAAGAAGGUCUUCGGAUUGUAAAGCACUUUAAGUUGGGCGGAAGGGCAGUAAGUUAAUACCUUGCUGUUUUGACGUUACCGACAGAAUAAGCACCGGCUAACUUCGUGCCAGCAGCCGCGGUAAUACGAAGGGUGCAAGCGUUAAUCGGAAUUACUGGGCGUAAAGCGCGCGUAGGUGGUUUUGUAAGUUGGAGGUGAAAUCCCCGGGCUCAACCUGGGAACUGCCUCCAAAACUGCAUGACUAGAGUACGGUAGAGGGUAGUGGAAUUUCCUGUGUAGCGGUGAAAUGCGUAGAUAUAGGAAGGAACACCAGUGGCGAAGGCGACUACCUGGACUGAUACUGACACUGAGGUGCGAAAGCGUGGGGAGCAAACAGGAUUAGAAACCCGGGUAGUCC